AAAGUCGUAACAAGGUCUCCGUUGGUGAACCAGCGGAGGGAUCAUUACCGAGUUUACUCAACUCCCAAACCCACUGUGAACGCAUGCCGCAGACGUUGCCUCGGCGGGUCACGGCCCCGGAGCGCCCCCCUGAAGGGGCCGCCGGAAACAGGCGCCCGCCGCAGGACCCAAACCCCUGAAUCGCGCCGCGGCGCACCCUGAUUUUGUGAGCGAGCGAGAAAUGAAUCAAAACUUUCAACAACGGAUCUCUUGGUUCUG
This 258-nucleotide unclassified non-coding RNA is filed under the name Ascomycota sp. RNAcentral describes it as "partial contains small subunit ribosomal RNA, internal transcribed spacer 1, and 5.8S ribosomal RNA". The stretch from base 1 to 47 matches the Rfam family "Eukaryotic small subunit ribosomal RNA", at positions 1785 to 1831 of the family's 1831-position model. The record is from RNAcentral. Lineage: Eukaryota; Fungi; Ascomycota.